GCCCUUGAGGCGUGGCGUCCGGAGCUAACGCGUUAAGGCGACCGCCUGGGGAGUACGGCCGCAAGGUUAAAACUCAAAUGAAUUGACGGGGGCCCGCACAAGCGGUGGAGCAUGUGGUUUAAUUCGAUGCAACGCGAAGAACCUUACCUACUCUUGACAUCCAGAGAACUUAGCAGAGAUGCUUUGGUGCCUUCGGGAACUCUGAGACAGGUGCUGCAUGGCUGUCGUCAGCUCGUGUUGUGAAAUGUUGGGUUAAGUCCCGCAACGAGCGCAACCCUUAUCCUUUGUUGCCAGCGGUUCGGCCGGGAACUCAAAGGAGACUGGCAGUGAUAAACUGGAGGAAGGUGGGGAAGCCGUCAAGUCAUCAUGGCCCUUACGAG
This 380-nucleotide ribosomal RNA is filed under the name Citrobacter portucalensis. RNAcentral describes it as "bacterial SSU rRNA". It matches the Rfam family "Bacterial small subunit ribosomal RNA", at positions 828 to 1208 of the family's 1533-position model. Lineage: Bacteria; Pseudomonadati; Pseudomonadota; Gammaproteobacteria; Enterobacterales; Enterobacteriaceae. The record is from RNAcentral.